This 256-nucleotide unclassified non-coding RNA is filed under the name plant metagenome. RNAcentral describes it as "partial contains small subunit ribosomal RNA, internal transcribed spacer 1, and 5.8S ribosomal RNA". The stretch from base 1 to 54 matches the Rfam family "Eukaryotic small subunit ribosomal RNA", at positions 1778 to 1831 of the family's 1831-position model. The record is from RNAcentral.
GGAAGUAAAAGUCGUAACAAGAUCUCCGUUGGUGGACCAGCGGAGGGAUCAUUACCGAGUUAUUCUACUCCCAAACCCCUGUGAACUUAUACCUUUACUGUUGCUUCGGCGGGUUAACGCCCCGGAAGGCCCGCGAGGGCCGCCGGAACCAGGCGCCCGCCGGGGGACCCAAACUCUUGUAUCUUUUUUAUAGCAUGUCUGAGUGGAAUCAUAAACAAAUGAAUCAAAACUUUCAACAACGGAUCUCUUGGUUCUG